Long non-coding RNA from Corvus hawaiiensis (hawaiian crow), 784 nucleotides. RefSeq lists it as uncharacterized. The record is from RefSeq and is a predicted model, not a curated record. NCBI's taxonomy places the organism in Eukaryota, Metazoa, Chordata, Aves, Passeriformes, Corvidae. The transcript is spliced from 3 exons.
UUUAACCAAAGCUGAACAUAUGUCUGAGUACCGGGGGCACAGGCAGAAGUGUGAUGGCUCAAUCAGAAUCUAAAGAGAGUCAGAUUUGAGAAGAACACACAGGAACAAGGAUUUGUGGAUUGAUGACAGCAUCCCACUGACAGGCUGAGGUACAGGAAGACUUGCUAAAAGCCAAGUGGAGCUUUCACCAGGAGAAGAAUAGGAAGAGAUCCUGCCAGCAUCCAGCCAUUCAGGACUGAUCCUUUCACCAGACCGGACAGUUCAGGCAAUGUUUGCUCCUCAGAAUCCCACCCAGAGCAGUGGGUGUUCCUCCAUGGCCUGGCAUCUGCCCACCACUGGCCAAGUUCUGUGCAGUAACUGCCUGAGCAGGACUCCAAAGCCUUGGUCAGGUGGGAUGCUUUGUAACUAAAAUAAUAAUAAUGAAUGACUACUCUAUCAGGCAUGACCUAGGAGUCACAACUCCAGUCCUGGACCUAUAAAUGGUGUCACUAACAAAUCUGUAUUGGGAAAAUACUGAAAUCCUGCAUGCUGCCAUGGAAUGUGGGCACAUCAUCCACCCACGUGGAUGUCAGGGACACCGUGAAGGACUUUCUGCCAAAGGGCAUGAAGAACAAAGGCCUAUUGCCUGCUGCCAUAGAAGGGAAAACCCAACAGCCUAAGCCUCAUAAACUGACAGGCCACCAAGAUCCAAAUAAAAUUCAAGAAGUCUAUCCAAAAUCAAAUCUACCAAACAAUGUCUUGGAAAUAUUUUGAUUUUUCAGUGCUAAAGAAAUAUGCCAUGAAC